RNAcentral lists this ribosomal RNA (833 nucleotides) under uncultured Bacteroidota bacterium. Its description in RNAcentral is "bacterial SSU rRNA". It matches the Rfam family "Bacterial small subunit ribosomal RNA", at positions 121 to 956 of the family's 1533-position model. Lineage: Bacteria; Pseudomonadati; Bacteroidota. The record is from RNAcentral.
GCAACCUACCUUCCCGUGGGGGAUAGCCCUCCGAAAGGAGGAUUAAUACCGCAUAAGACCAUUUGAGGGCAUCCGAAGAUGGUGAAAGCUGAGGCGGUGGAAGAUGGGCAUGCGUGCCAUUAGCUUGUUGGUGUGGUAACGGCGCACCAAGGCAACGAUGGCUAGGGGUUCUGAGAGGAUGGUCCCCCACACUGGUACUGAGACACGGACCAGACUCCUACGGGAGGCAGCAGUAGGGAAUAUUGGGCAAUGGCCGAGAGGCUGACCCAGCCAUGCCGCGUGCAGGAAGAAGGCCUUCUGGGUUGUAAACUGCUUUUACCAGGGAAGAAAACGCUCCUGCGGGAGUAACUGACGGUACCUGGUGAAUAAGCACCGGCUAACUCCGUGCCAGCAGCCGCGGUAAUACGGAGGGUGCAAGCGUUGUCCGGAUUUAUUGGGUUUAAAGGGUGCGUAGGCGGCCCGUUAAGUCAGCGGUGAAAUCCCACGGCUCAACCGUGGAACUGCCGUUGAUACUGGCGGGCUUGAGUUCGGUCGAGGCGGGCGGAACUGGUGGUGUAGCGGUGAAAUGCUUAGAUACCACCAAGAACCCCGAUUGCGUAGGCAGCUCGCUGGGCCGAAACUGACGCUGAGGCACGAAAGCGUGGGGAGCGAACAGGAUUAGAUACCCUGGUAGUCCACGCCGUAAACGAUGAUGACUCGAUGUUAGCGAUAUACAGUUAGCGUCCAAGCGAAAGCGUUAAGUCAUCCACCUGGGGAGUACGCCCGCAAGGGUGAAACUCAAAGGAAUUGACGGGGGCCCGCACAAGCGGUGGAGCAUGUGGUUUAAUUCGAUG